CAGAUGAGGAAACUGUUUCUACAUUCAGAGGUACUGAUCCUGGUUUGCAGAGGAUAAGGGUCAGAUCAGCCAUCAGAAGAUAGUCAGCAGAAAUGAUAUUAUCAAUACCAAUAUCAACAUCAACAUUGACAAUAACAUCAUCAUCAUCAACAUUGACAAUAACAUCAUCAUCAUUAACAUUGACAAUAACAUCAUCAUCAUCAACAUUGACAAUAACAUCAUCAUCAUCAACAUUGACAAUAAGAUCAUCAUCAUCAACAUUGACAAUAACAUCAUCAUCAACAUCAUCAUUUUCAUCAAAAUCAACAACAACUAUGUCAACAACAUCAUCAGCACCACCAUUAUCGUCAUUAUCAACAUCAUCAACAACAACAUCAACAUCGUCACCACUGCCAUUAUCAGCAUCAAUCUCCAUCAUCAUUAUCAUCAUGAUCAUUAAAAAAAACCAUCAUCUUGAGACAUGAUUAAAAAAAACGCCAAAGAACUGUCAGAUAAUGGUGGACAAAUAUGUUUUCAUUUAGAAAAUGUGAAGAAAACUAUCUAGAGAGAACUUGGUUUGCUUUGAUUUUGGACAAAGAGCUGUUGAUGUUUUCAGAAAUAAAUGCAUCUUUUUAAUUUACAUCAUAAUUAUGACUUAUAUCAAAUGGGAAGUGAUAUGAAAGAAAGUACUUCUUCUACUUAAAUUGACCCGAUGAAUGUAGGAUAAGUGAUUAAUAGAAAGGAUUACCAACCUGGAUCAACAAGGAGCUUUCAUCAGCUGGAUUGACAAGUAUUAAGGCUUUGCUGAGAGAUUCUGAACCAUUGUACAUCUGAUGUGUCCUUCCAUCAAGAGGGCUAAUUUUGACUGUGGAACAGUGAUGAUGAAGAGGUCUGAAGGUGACGUAGACUAGGGGUUGUCCCAGCGGUCCACUGGCCUUGGAUCUAGAACCCAACGAGAGCCAGGAUGUCCGUUACAAGGGUCCUGUUCUGUUUAUCCGCAGACACUCCAACUUCCUGUCAGGAAGGACUCACAAUGCAUCGUGGGAAUGGGGGAAUUUGGCCGCAAGCCUCACCUCUUCCCUUGUUACUUUUCAUUGCUAGCUCAAGAUCAGGAAUAGAAGAUUACGAUCUGUUUUCGUCCACU
Lytechinus pictus (painted urchin) is the source of this 1123-nucleotide long non-coding RNA. RefSeq lists it as uncharacterized. Lineage: Eukaryota; Metazoa; Echinodermata; Echinoidea; Temnopleuroida; Toxopneustidae. The transcript is spliced from 3 exons. The record is from RefSeq and is a predicted model, not a curated record.